Molecule: long non-coding RNA, 2800 nt
Filed under: Haliotis rubra (blacklip abalone)
Lineage: Eukaryota; Metazoa; Mollusca; Gastropoda; Lepetellida; Haliotidae
Description: uncharacterized LOC124259083
Source: RNAcentral
UUAUCCCAGUUGAAGCUGGUACAGUAAUGACAUAGGUUGAAUUCUUUGAUUUAUCCCAGUUGAAGCUGGAAUGGUAAUGACAUGACAUAGGUUGAAAGGAUAACAUCUCUAUUUACACUGUUGCAAUGUUUAAGUGCAGGUGAAAUCACUGUUAAUCAUGAAACAAUAUAUUUACGCACGAUCAUGCCCUUUUACAAACAUUGUGCUGUGUCCUGUUUGUACAGCUUUAAUACAGAGCAGAAAACUAGAUGCAGGUUUGCUAAUAAUUUUAGAUAAAACGAUGGUAAUUUAUGGAUGUCAACAUUUGUAAUACAACCGACACAACGCUUUUGGAGAAUAUUCUUUCACUUCAUUUCACCUGAUGAAGACGUUGUGUCACAAGUUGACCUCCAUAACUUUUGGUACAAAGUGUGAAUCCCAUUUCUGGUGUCCCCCGCCGUGAUUCCACCUAGAUAUUGCCAGGACAUUGCUAAAAGUGGCAUAAAACUAUACCACUCAUUCACAUCAUAAGUGGGGGAUGGGGUAGACUAGUGGUUAAAGCAUUCACGUCAUGCUGAACACCUGGAUUCGAUUCCCCACAUGGGUACAAUGUGUGAAGCCAAUUUCUGGUAAUCCCCACCAUGAUAUUGCUGGAAUAUUACUGAAAGCAGCUAAAACACAUACCCACUCACUCUUUCACAUUUAAUAACUGUGGCAUUCCUGAGACAGCUGUGUAGAUAUAUCUAUGGCUACUGUAAUUAAUGGCAAAUGAGGUUUUUAAUUUAUGUUUCAAUUAUUGUAAAUAUUCUUCAAGGUGUAUGGUUCUGUUAUGACUCAUAUUAAUUUUAUUUCUGAUUGUAUAUAAGAACAAGAAUUAAGAUAGAUGUUAAUAGUCAUUAGAGUUUUUAUUUUAUUCUAUAUUUGUUAAUACUCUGUUGACUUUUAUGCUCGAUAUCAUCUCAUUUUAUAAAGGAAUGGUUUGUAGUGUCAAUGCUGAGUCAAAGUAUUAUGUAGCAUAAUUUAGUUGUGUUUACAACAACUAUGAACUAUGAGUACUGUGUUCAAAUGGUGAUUAUACAUAUAUAAUUGGAAAGGUGGGUUGUAAUUAAAACAUUAACUUGUCUGCCAAGCCCCAGAUAUUGGCAGAUCCAAAACAAAAAGCUAAAACAAGAAACAAAGUGUGAUAUUAUUGUCAGGGUCAAAUUUCCUUAGGACUAGUUGUGAAAAGCAUUUACAAAAAUGUAAGAAAAAGCAUUUCAUUUUUAACCAUACGUCCCUGUGGUGUUAUUUCUCAGGUGAACAGUUGACCUGCCUGUGCAUGUGUUUGUGAUAGAUGCCUCCAUUGAGGAAGGAUAUGAUUUUUUCAAGAAUACCUGGUACUUUCACUAUUUUAUAGUGAUUCACAAGCACAUGCUCAUGAUAUGGUCUUAAUCAGAUAAUAGUAGAAUCUGGAGACCUUCCUAGUGAUUAUUGGUAUCGUUUUGCCAUAUUUAUGAAUUUCACACUGCAUUUUUAAUUAAUCCAUUGAGAAUUUUUACUUUCACCAAAUAUAGUCUUUUUAUUAUUAUGAAGACAGAACAAGACAAAUCUGUAGGAAGACUGUUUGAACGAAGUCAUCCAACCAGAUGGUUGUUGACUAUUGGACUUGAACAGUAUCCAGCCAGAGCACAAAUGACUGUCAUGGCAACAAAAACAAUGCACAUUGUUUCUCUGAACCCCGAUUAAUGUACAAAAAAUCCUUUAAAAAUUAAUUUUUUAAUUUUCUUUUGAGAAGUGGGUAAUUUGGGAACAAUGAAAUACCAGUUAUAGAGCAUCCAUUUGGAGCAUUCAGUGGACUGGACGUAUCAAUGCAGUAUUAUGUGACAGGGUGAUUUUUAUUCCUAUAUUUAAAACGGUUUUCUAUUUAUUCAUGUGCUGCCUAAGUUAUUUGAAGCUAUCAGAAAUAUAUUAAAAUAAACUUGUAUAAUUGUAAAUUAAAUUGUAUUCCAAUCAAAUAUAUUCUUAUACACUGAUUACAAUCUUUGACUUGAGAAGUAGUGUUAUCGAGAAACUGGUAAAUAGGCCUAGUUCUAUGGCUGAACCUGCUCGAAAUUUUGUUAUGGUCAAACAAUCAUUAAACUGAAAAUAAAUUUAGUUUUAACAUCUAUUUAUGUGUAUUAUCACUUCAAAUCAAAUAGUCAUUUGUUUUCAUUUGUCCUGAUUUUUUGCAUUCUGAUCAAGAAAAAUAGUAGAAACAAAUAUAUACAUGGGCCUGACAUUAUGUUACGCUCUAAAGACAUUUGUAUUCUUUUUGUAAAUGUGAUGAAUUUCAGUAAUAUUAAAUUAUUUUUAUUAUUUGGCUUUAUGAUUUACUCUUAAAGAAAAACCGUUAUAUGGAAUAUCAGAAUAAGAACUUCCAGUUUUAUGAUGGUUUAUAACAGAUAUACCCGUAAGAUUUUAGUUGACUUUUUGGUAAGCGCCUUUGGGUAUGCUCGCCAUGCAUUUAAAUAAAUGUCUAUAAGGGGAAUGACAUGCUAUAUAUGAAUAUGUAAUUUAUUCCUUUUUACAUGACGUUACAUUCUGCAUGAAUCAUAUAUACUAAUAUGUUCCCCAAACAAUGCUUAUCAGAUUAUUUGGAUUUUUGACAUAUCAUAUAUUUAGUAAAAAUGUACAAUUUUGCUGGUGUGUCUGUGUAUUGUUCGGUCCGAGCCAGUUUGACUGAACUAGUUUCAGUAGCAUUGUUCACCGCCCUUGACUGUGAUUAGUUGACCUGUUUGUAUAUAUUUCCAUUUGAGUGAGUUGUCCGACAUUUAUUAUGAAAUAAACUACACUUCAAGAUUAA